CGAAUUCAUGAAUUAUAUUGUAGAUUGCAAAUUUGAAUUUGGAGCAUGUGGUAAUAAGUUGAGUAGUUUAUACAUGUUGGACUUGGAAUUCGACUUAGGAGAAAACCUACGAUUGGGACCCGUCACUUGUUUAAACUGCCUGAUUUAGCUCUAAGAGUCGUUAUAAAAUUGUACUGUCGCAGUAUCUUUGAGACGAGUACUCCGGGUAGUUUAGAAUACAUUUACGCUCGUGCUGGUACGCCGAGUGGAUUUUUACAGAGUCAUUUCGCUGUUUCGGACUUUUGCGCCGUUGGAGUUGACGGUGGGCCCAGUUCGCCGUUUUGGCGUCAGAUUGUGCCGAGGGCACGUUACUUGUUUGUUGUUAGACCAGUUAGAGUCGGUUACUUAAACUUUGGCUUGACAGAGCCUGAUUAAGCUCAACAGAGAUACGCUGCAUACUCGGUUGGGUAGCGCCCACGAGUGCCACUCCGGAGACGGGCUUUGUGCUUUCGCGUUGGUGUCGCUCAUGCCAGUUGGACUUGCUCUCCACGGACCAGUUAGUGUGGAGGUAGCUGGAUAGUCACAACUGGGCAGGGACGGGUGUAUUCACAGUCCCAAGGACGGGUAGGUUUACAGUCCCGAUUGGAUUGGGUCCGAUUUGACAUUUCCUACAGUUGGUUAGUGUAGAGCAUGAUAGUGUAGUGAUUGAUAGCGGUAGAGUUUACUUCCUGCUUUUCCUACUAUCCUGGCUCCCCUCUGUAGACUUAGUGGGUGGACCGAUAUUGUUUGGGCUGCACCCACUGAGGACUACUUGUUUUUACAGUAGUUCUCACGCCCAGUUGUUACCCCUGUUUUGCAGAGCCACAGGUUCCGGCUGCUGCGCCUUCCGCGGAUCAGGAUCGAGGCAAGGGCGUCGCGAGUUAGAGCCCUACCCGAUGUGCUGAGCUAGAGGUGCCCCUACUGCAGGUAGAUUUUUUUUUUCGAGUUUAUGUACAUAGUAGACUUAACUCGCCAGUGCGAGUAGCUCUGUAUUUUGGAUUUGGACUAUGUAUAUGAAACUCAGUUUGUUUAGCUUAUGAUUCUCUAGCAGCUCUCUACUACUGUUCGUAGUAGUGUUGGAUUUACAGGUACAGCUAUCGCUUCGUUUACAGGAAAAAUUUUCUUUGUAUACGACGGAUUUGUCGGCGUGCUCGGGGAACGAGACAUUCGGGGCGUGACAGAUUAACUUGGUAUCAGAACUUUGCUGUAGGUCGUUGGGACCUAAGAAACCUAAGUUUGGCAAACCUUAGGAAGGCAAGACGUGAGAGGCGUAAUUUAUUGCGAAAGUCAAUGAUUAUUUAUUCUAACUCCUAGAGUGGAGUGAGUGACUGAAGGAGUUCCUGUUUUGGCCUGAGAAAUUAUGUUGGCUGCAGACAACAUAAUUUUGGAGGGAAACAGGGUCCGCCUUCCAGACUUUCGUUGAUUGGGUCAAAAGUGUUUGUGUUUCAACUGACCCCGAUCUGUUCUUUUCAGCUAUGUAUCGUCGCCGAGGCCAACCGUCGUUGCGGGAGCGUGCGCAGUUGGCACAGGAUCCUGCUAGAUCUCCCGAGAUGCCCGAGCAGGCAGAGCCGAGUGCACCACCAAAGGAAAGUGUACCCCCUGUUGUAGAGCAGAGGGCCCGACCGGAGGCGAGUGCAUCCCUGGAUUUGAGUGCACAGUUAGCUGCCCUCACAGAGGUGACGAGGUAGCAGGGGGAGAUGUUGCAAAGGUUGUGUGAGAGGGUGGCUCAGACAUCGAGUACAGUACCGAGAGCACCAGAGCAGGCCAUUCCGCCUCCGACUACUCCAAUGGUCGCACCAGCCGUAGCUGUACCCCCACCAGCAAAGUUUCCGGCCGCGCCAGUUGCGCCAGCUAGGGGACCGGUUUAGUUGACAGAGGCCGAGCAGGAGCGGUGGACAGAGAGGUUGGCCCGUUUCCGCCGUUUUGAUCACCGAUUUUCAAUGGCAGUUGCACUGAGGCCUGGAUUGUCGAGGGAUGGGUCAGUGCGAUGGAGAAGUUAUUUGAGGAUUUGUUUAUUCCAGAGGGGGAGCAGGUGUCUUUGGGAGUCCAUUGCUUGGCAGGUGAUGCCCACGUCUGGUGGAGGAGAGUGAGGAGAGAGCAGGGACUGGUGGCAUUGCAGCUGGGAUGGGAUGAGUUCUGUGGAAUGCUGUUUGGGAUGUUCUUUCCCAAUNAAGUGUACCCCCUGUUGUAGAGCAGAGGGCCCGACCGGAGGCGAGUGCAUCCCUGGAUUUGAGUGCACAGUUAGCUGCCCUCACAGAGGUGACGAGGCAGCAGGGGGAGAUGUUGCAGAGGUUGUGUGAGAGGGUGGCUCAGACAUCGAGUACAGUACCGAAAGCACCAGAGCAGGUCAUUCCGCCUCCGACUACUCCAAUGGCCGCACCAGCCGUAGCUGUACCACCCCCAGCGGAGUUUCCGGCCGCGCCAGUUGCGCCAGCUAGGAGACCGGUUCAGUUGACGGAGAUCGAGCAGGAGCAGUGGAUAGAGAGGUUGGCCCGUUUCCGCCGUUUCGAUCCGCCGAUCUUUGAUGGCAGUUGUACUGAGGCUUGAGUUGUUGAGGGCUGGGUCAGUGCGAUGGAGAAGCUAUUCGAGGAUCUUUUCAUCUCUGAGGGGGAGCAGGUGUUUUUGGGAGUCUAUUGUUUGGCAGGUGACGCCCACGCCUGGUGGAGGAGAGUGCGGAGAGAGUAGGGACUGGUAGCAUUACAGCUGAGUUUGGAUGAGUUCUGUGGAAUGCUGUUUGGGAUGUUCUUUCCCAACAGUGUGAAGCAGAAGCUCGAGGAGGAUUUGAGGAGGCUUCAGCAGGGGGAUCGGCCAGUGCAGGAGUACGUUCGAGAGUUUACUCGACUCCUGAACUGCAUGCCAUUUGUGGCCAGAGAUGAGGCCCGCAGGGUUUACAUGUUCGAGCAGGGGCUGAGACCGGAUAUUUUUAGGUUGACUCGGACGCAGAGGUCGAGGACUCUGGAUGCGUCUAUAGAGCAGGCCUUGUAGGUGGUGCGAGGUGAGGCAUCGCUGCAGGAGAGGACUCAGGCCGUAGGGCAGAGUCAGGACAGGAAGCGCCCCUUUCCAGAUGACGGUGGACAGUCGAGCAGCAGACGUCCGCCGAGGCCUCCACAAUCACGUUCUCAGGGUCGUGGGUUUUCGAGACGUCAGCGUUCCAGGGGAUCCCGUCAGCAGGGUCAGACUUAGAGGGCACUGCUGUGUGUGAUCUGCGGGGGACCACACUGGCCCCGGCAGUGCGAGCAGAGAGAGUGCAGGUGCUACGGAUGUGGUCAGCCGGGACACAUGAGGGCAGCUUGUCCCCCAAUAGCGUCUCCAGCACCAUCAACUUCAGCACCACCAGCACCGCAGCAGUCUUACGGAGCAGCACCGAGCUACCGCCAUGAGGACAGAUCGUCUGUGCCGCGGUCGAGUGAGCGGCGACAGCAGGCUCCGAGUGGCAGGGUUUAUACAGCCCGGGUGAAGGACUCUACAGCAGCCGACCGAGUGGUGGCAGGUAUCACUUUGAUUUCUGGCAUUAGAGUUCGCACUCUUUUUGAUACCGGUGCCUCGCAUUCCUUUGUUAGCCGAGCAUUUGCACAGUUACAUGGUCUAGAGUUAGGAGCGUUGUCUCAAGCACGAGAGGUGCAGAUCCCAGACUAUGUUUUGCAGGUUGUGGAGUGUUGUUGGUCAUGCCCGGUGCAGCUAGACUCGUGGAUUAUGCCCGCAGAUUUGUUGGUGUUAGGGCAGCUGCAGGAUUUCGACGUCGUGCUCGGUAUGGAUUGGCUGGCGCGGUACUAUGCUACGAUCGACUGUGGAGCGAGGAUGGUGACGUUCCGCGAGCCAGGCCAUGAGGAGUUUACUUUUAGACGCUGCAGGAGCACGCUGUUUGCCACCUGGAUAUCUUCGGCGAGGGCUCGACAGAUGCUGAAUAGCGGGUGUAUCGCUUUCCUAGCGACAGUUGUGGAGGUACCUACGGCGGCGCCGGGACUCGAGGAUAUCCCAGUAGUCCGCGAGUUUCCGGAUGUAUUUCCCCCUAAGUUGACGUCGUUGCCGCCGGAGAGGGAGAUUGAGUUUGUGAUUGAUGUAGUUCCUAGAACUGCACCAAUCUCGAAGGUACCUUAUCGGAUGGCGCCGGCAGAGCUGAGAGAGCUAAAGGCACAGCUUCAGGAUUUGAUAGAUAGAGGGUUUGUGAGACCCAGUGUUUCGCCUUGGGGAGCGCCAGUGUUGUUUGUGAAGAAAAAGGAUGGUUCACUUAGGCUGUGUAUGGAUUACCGGGAGCUGAAUAAAGUGACCAUCAAGAAUAAGUAUCCCUUGCCUCGUAUUGAUGAUUUGUUUGAUCAGCUGCAGGGAUCUUAUGUCUUCUCGAAGGUUGAUCUCCAGUCAGGUUACCACCAGCUGAGAGUAAGGGCCGAGAAUGUUCCCAAGACAGCUUUUCGGACUCGGUACGGGCAUUAUGAGUUCACGGUGAUGCCUUUUGGAUUGACGAAUGCCCCUACCGCAUUCAUGGAUUUGAUGAACAGAGUGUUCAAGCCGUUCUUAGAUAGAUUUGUGGUAGUCUUCAUCGACGAUAUCCUGAUUUACUCCCGGAGUGAUGCUGAGCAUGAGCACUUGAGGAUUGUGCUACAACUUCUGCGAGAGAAGAAAUUGUAUGCCAAGUUAAAGAAGUGCAAGUUCUGGCUACGGGAGGUUGCUUUCUUGGGCCACGUGAUUUCAGCUAAGGGCGUAGCAAUGGACCCGAAGAAGAUUGAGGCGAUUCGAGAUUGGCCUAGACCGACGACGGUGACUGAGGUACGGAGUUUCCUGAGACUGGCAGGAUAUUACCGUCGGUUUGUGGAAGGCUUUGCGAAGCUUUCCACACCCCUCACACGCUUGACGCGGAAGGGGAUUCGUUUUGUCUGGAGCGACGACUGUCAGAGGAGUUUUGACGAGUUGAGACUGAGGUUGACGUCGGCUCCUAUCCUUGCCCUUCCGGUGAUGGGGGAUGGAUUUGUGAUCUACAGUGAUGCAUCGCACAGUGGACUUGAUUGCGUGCUGAUGCAGUAUGAUAGGGUGAUUGCUUAUGCUUCACGGCAGUUAAAGAAUUAUGAGAAGAAUUACCCUACGCAUGACUUGGAGCUUGCCGCAGUGGUUUUUGCUUUGAAGCUCUGGCGGCAUUACUUGUACGGCGAGCACUGCGAGGUCUUCACCGAUCAUAAAAGUCUCAAGUAUCUGUUCACACAGAGGGAGCUGAACCUGAGGCAGCGCCGGUGGUUAGAGUUACUGAAGGACUAUGACAUUAGUAUUCAGUAUCAUCCCAGCAGGGCGAAUGUUGUGGCAGAUGCGUUGAGCAGGAAGUCAGUGCAGAGCCUGAGUUUGAGGAUCACUGAGCAGAGACCCCUACUCAAGGAGCUACAGCGGCUGGGACUCGAGAUAGUACCCCCUGAGUCUACGGCGAGGCUGACGUCUCUAGUUUUGCAGCCCACUCUGUUGGAUAGGAUCCGAGAGAAACAGAGUGGAGAUCCGUACUUGUUGAGGAUUAGAGCAGCUAGACAGGGGGCAGGCUGAGAGUUUUGCUUUGGACAGUUCGGGAGUACUACGGUACAGGGACCGACUGUGUGUGCCUGUGGAUUCUGAAAUCCGAGCAGACAUUCUGAGAGAGGCUAAUUGUUCUCCUUAUACGGUUCACCCAGGUGGGACCAAGAUGUAUAAGGACUUAAAGGCACAGUUUUGGUGGAAUGGAAUGAAGAGAGACAUUGGCAGAUAUGUGGCUCAGUGUUUGACUUGCCAACAGGUGAAGGCCGAGCAUCAGAUGCCUGCUGGGAAGCUUCAGAAUCUGCCAUUGCCCGAGUAGAAGUGGGAGUACAUCACGAUGGACUUCGUCGUUGGAUUGCCUAGAGCGCAGGGUGGCUACGACGCGAUUUGGGUGAUAAUGGACAGACUGACCAAGUCUGCUCACUUCCUACCAGUUCAGACUACCUGGUCCAGAGAGAGACUCGCGCAGCUAUACUUGGAUGAGAUUGUUAGGCUGCACGGCGUGCCAGUGUCGAUUGUAUCAGACAGAGACCCGAGGUUUGUAUCCCAGUUUUGGAGGAGCCUUCAGACCACCGCCUUGGACACUCAGCUGCAUUUUAGCACGGCGUUCCACCCACAGACAGAUGGUCAGUCAGAGCGGACCAUACAGACUCUAGAGGACAUACUGAGGGCAUGCGUCCUGGAUUUUGGAGGAGGGUGGUAUCGACAUGUGAGACUAGUUGAGUUUACGUACAACAACAGCUAUCAAGCGAGCAUUCGGAUGGCUCCGUUUUAAGCGUUGUAUGGACGCAGAUGUCGAUCCCCUCUGUUUUGGAGUGAUGUGGGUGAGAGGAUGACACUUGGACCGGAGAUCUUACUUGAGGCUGAGGAAAAGAUGAGAGUCGUUCGACAACACCUUUUGACAGCACAGAGCCGACAGAGGAGCUACGCCGAUAUCAGAAGACGAGACUUGGAGUUUCAGGUUGGAGAUCAUGUUUUCCUCAAAGUCUUGUCGUCCAAAGGAAUACGCCGAUUUGGAGUACGUGGAAAGCUUAGUCCACUGUUUGUUGGCCCUUUCGAGGUAUUGGAGCGUCUCGAACCGGUUGCAUACAGGAUAGCUCUACCCCCGCGACUUACUGGCAUCCACGAUGUUUUCCACGUCUCAGCAUUGAGGAGAUACGUUUUCGAUCCCUCUCAUGUGAUUGACUUCACUCCACUUGAGAUUGGCGAGGAUCUGAGAUACGAGGAGCGACCGUUGCGGAUUCUUGCUCGAGAGACAAAAGAAUUGUGCAAUCGGAUCAUCCCGUAUGUGAAAGUGCAGUGGAGUAAUCAUGAUGAGCGGGAGGCGACUUGGGAGUCUGAGACGGUGAUGAAGGAGGCCAAUCGCUAUUUGUUUGAUGCCUGAGCAGAGGUAUGUUUCAGUUUCGAUGACGAAAUUUUUUGUAGAGGGGGAGGAUGUGAGAUCCCUGGUGUACGGCUGUGGAGGCUUGCCGACAGCUCUGGAGAGUGUCGAGACAAGUUUGAGUCGCGUUGGCGUAAAAUGCAUGCAAAACGAACCCCCCGCGACGCGAACGUAGCACUUGGCGAGAAAAUCCGCAAAAUUGCAGGUUUUCUGCUUGCUGUACCGGUACAGCCAUCAAGGUGUACCGGUACACUUCAGCUAGCUACACGCGGGCUGCUCUCGGGUUAGCCUCUAUACCGGUACACCGACCCCUCGUACCGGUACACCAGGGUAGGUAAGGGGUGGUUUGGUCUUUUUCCCACUUCGUUCAUAUCACCCUUUCUCUCUCUCUAGCUAGGUUCUUGCGCACGGUGGAGCUCGGGUGGAGUUCGGAUUUCGUCGCCGACGUCGCGCCGCGGAGUCGUUCGAGCACGUGUUUGACGCCGGGGUAGCGCGAGGAGGCUGGGCGAGCGUAGGUUUUCGCCGUUCUUGCUGUCGCACCGGUGCUUGGUGUUGUCGAGGUGGGUAAUUCAGCAUUUUCUUUGUUUUUGGGCAAGUUCUUACUACUUCAACUCGGAAUGAUGUUGUUGCUGAAAUUCAUCGCCGACUGUUAGUAUUUCAGCUCGUACUCGACGUAGGAGCAUCGGAUUUCGACGAGGCUUGGUUCGUUGGAUUCGGGACUUCGAGAAGAAUCCACGAAGCCCUUACUUGCCGGAUUUGGUGAAGGUUAGCUUGGUCGAAUCCCUUUUCUACUCUGUUGCUGCGAAAUUCGGACCGAAUAGGUGGAUUUUGAUCGUAGAGCUUGGAGUUAGCUCGAGUGCUAGACUUGGAGGGUUCCAGUUGAUCCAGCAGGGAUCACUUUGGUGCGAGGCUUCGUUCGUUGCCAGGAGCUAGCUUCUUGAGGUGAGUUACAUCGGUUUUGACUCCUAAGUUCUAAUCAUCGACAUGUAUAAUUUCGAUUUUGGUAUAGUCUAUUCUAGCUCGAAUUCAUGGAUUAUAUUGUAGAUUGCAAAUCUGAAUUUGGAGCAUGCGGUAAUAAGUUGAGUAGUUUAUACAUGUUGGACUUGGAAUUCGACUUAGGAGAAAACCUGCGAUUGGGACCUGUCACUUGUUUAAACUGCCUGAUUUAGCUCUAGGAGCCGUUAUAAAAUUGUACUGUCGCAGUAUCUUUGAGACGAGUACUCCGGGUAGUUUAGAAUAUAUUUACGCUCGUGCUGGUACGCCGAGUGGAUUUUUACAGAGUCAUUUGGCUGUUUCGGACUUUUGCGCCGUUGGAGUUGACGGUGGGCCCGGUUCGCCGUUUUGGCGUCAGAUUGUGCCGAGGGCACGUUACUUGUUUGUUGUUAGACCAGUUAGAGUCGGUUACUUAAACUUUGGCUUGACAGAGCCUGAUUGAGCUC
This 8325-nucleotide long non-coding RNA is filed under the name Ananas comosus (pineapple). Its description in RNAcentral is "long non-coding RNA (ACOM_LNC033558)". The record is from RNAcentral. Lineage: Eukaryota; Viridiplantae; Streptophyta; Magnoliopsida; Poales; Bromeliaceae.